RNAcentral lists this non-coding RNA (27 nucleotides) under Homo sapiens (human). Lineage: Eukaryota; Metazoa; Chordata; Mammalia; Primates; Hominidae. The record is from RNAcentral.
GGAGAGUGCCCUGCGUGCCACGAAAGU